AGGACCAUCUGCUAAGGCUAAAUACUACCUGGCGACCGAUAGUGAAACAGUACCGUGAGGGAAAGGUGAAAAGCACCCCGGAAGGGGAGUGAAAGAGAUCCUGAAACCGUGUGCCUACAAGUAGGCAGAGCCCGUUAACGGGUGAUGGCGUGCCUUUUGUAGAAUGAACCGGCGAGUUACGUUUAACAUGCAAGGUUAAGUCGAGAAGACGGAGCCGCAGCGAAAGCGAGUCUGAAUAGGGCGAAUGAGUAUGUGGUCGUAGACCCGAAACCAGGUGAUCUACCCAUGUCCAGGGUGAAGUCCAGGUAACACUGGAUGGAGGCCCGAACCCACGCACGUUGAAAAGUGCGGGGAUGAGGUGUGGGUAGGGGUGAAAUGCCAAUCGAACCUGGAGGUAGCUGGUUCUCUCCGAAAUAGCUUUAGGGCUAGCCUCAAGGUAAGAGUCUUGGAGGUAGAGCACUGAUUGGGUGCGGGGUCCGCAAGGAUUACCAAGCUCAGUCAAACUCCGAAUGCCAUAUACUUAUUGCCGGGAGUCAGACAGUGAGUGCUAAG
Molecule: ribosomal RNA, 552 nt
Filed under: Salmonella enterica subsp. enterica serovar Goldcoast
Lineage: Bacteria; Pseudomonadati; Pseudomonadota; Gammaproteobacteria; Enterobacterales; Enterobacteriaceae
Description: partial 23S ribosomal RNA
Rfam family: Bacterial large subunit ribosomal RNA
Source: RNAcentral